CAGCCGCCACGGUAAUACAGAGGGUGCGAGCGUUAAUCGGAUUUACUGGGCGUAAAGCGUGCGUAGGCGGCUUCUUAAGUCGGAUGUGAAAUCCCUGAGCUUAACUUAGGAAUUGCAUUCGAUACUGGGAAGCUAGAGUAUGGGAGAGGAUGGUAGAAUUCCAGGUGUAGCGGUGAAAUGCGUAGAGAUCUGGAGGAAUACCGAUGGCGAAGGCAGCCAUCUGGCCUAAUACUGACGCUGAGGUACGAAAGCAUGGGGAGCAAACAGGAUUAGAGACCCGAGUAGUCCCUGUCUCUUAUAA
Molecule: ribosomal RNA, 301 nt
Filed under: uncultured bacterium
Lineage: Bacteria
Description: partial 16S ribosomal RNA
Rfam family: Bacterial small subunit ribosomal RNA
Source: RNAcentral